This 698-nucleotide ribosomal RNA is filed under the name Planococcus sp. 'Mali 4'. Its description in RNAcentral is "bacterial SSU rRNA". It matches the Rfam family "Bacterial small subunit ribosomal RNA", at positions 1 to 677 of the family's 1533-position model. Lineage: Bacteria; Bacillati; Bacillota; Bacilli; Caryophanales; Caryophanaceae. The record is from RNAcentral.
AUUCGUCGACAACAGAGUCUGAUCCUGGCUCAGGACGAACGCUGGCGGCGUGCCUAAUACAUGCAAGUCGAGCGGAACCAGGGGAGCUUGCUCCCUUGGUUUAGCGGCGGACGGGUGAGUAACACGUGGGCAACCUGCCCUGCAGAUCGGGAUAACUCCGGGAAACCGGUGCUAAUACCGAAUAGUUUGCGGCCUCUCAUGAGGCUGCACGGAAAGACGGUUUCGGCUGUCACUGCAGGAUGGGCCCGCGGCGCAUUAGCUAGUUGGUGGGGUAACGGCCCACCAAGGCGACGAUGCGUAGCCGACCUGAGAGGGUGAUCGGCCACACUGGGACUGAGACACGGCCCAGACUCCUACGGGAGGCAGCAGUAGGGAAUCUUCCGCAAUGGACGAAAGUCUGACGGAGCAACGCCGCGUGAGUGAAGAAGGUUUUCGGAUCGUAAAACUCUGUUGUGAGGGAAGAACAAGUACCACGUAACUACUGGUACCUUGACGGUACCUCACCAGAAAGCCACGGCUAACUACGUGCCAGCAGCCGCGGUAAUACGUAGGUGGCAAGCGUUGUCCGGAAUUAUUGGGCGUAAAGCGCGCGCAGGCGGUCCUUUAAGUCUGAUGUGAAAGCCCACGGCUCAACCGUGGAGGGUCAUUGGAAACUGGGGGACUUGAGUGCAGAAGAGGAAAGUGGAAUUCCACGUGUA